UUUGUGUAGUAUUUUUGGUUUAUAAAGGUCAUGACUACAAUUCAACAGGGUAUUGGAACGAGCUACUAUGGGCAGCUUCGUGUUCUCUCUGGAGGUCAAGCACCUGGUGGGCACACUGCUUUAUAUGGACCAUUCGGGUGAUCCUGCAAGUUUUCAUGCUGCUGUAGCAAAGACAUGUUUUGCGCUGAAGAAUCAACUCAUCACUGCUAGCUAUGUUGAUGAUGAAACAUCCAUGUAGAUGGCUAAGAAAUACUUGGAUUAUGAUUCUUGGUGAAGUGACAUCUCACAACUUGGAUAAUUGAGAAUGAGGCUCAUAUCAGCAAGGGGAAAGUGAAGUCUUUCACGCUCUUCCUGUGGUAGCAUUCCCUUUUCUUCUGCAGCAGAUAAUUUAUUAGCACAGAUUGAAUGACUUCAAUCUGAUGUAUUCAAAUCAUGCAAUAAUGUGAUCAAGAGCUCACAUUCACCUUCCACUUUGUAAUAUUUAUUAUGUAUCUUUUUUUUGGGAAUCAUAAUAAGCAAUAAUAUUUUACAGUACA
Brassica napus (rape) is the source of this 536-nucleotide long non-coding RNA. RefSeq lists it as uncharacterized. The record is from RefSeq and is a predicted model, not a curated record. The transcript is spliced from 3 exons. NCBI's taxonomy places the organism in Eukaryota, Viridiplantae, Streptophyta, Magnoliopsida, Brassicales, Brassicaceae.